Molecule: transfer RNA, 74 nt
Filed under: Candidatus Yanofskybacteria bacterium RIFCSPHIGHO2_01_FULL_43_42
Lineage: Bacteria; Candidatus Yanofskyibacteriota
Also listed under: 2 other names
Description: tRNA-His
Rfam family: tRNA
About the family: Transfer RNA (tRNA) molecules are approximately 80 nucleotides in length. Their secondary structure includes four short double-helical elements and three loops (D, anti-codon, and T loops).
Source: RNAcentral
GUCCUCGUAGCUCAAUAGAAGAGCGGUGCCCUGUGAAGGCAUUGGUUGCGGGUGCAAGUCCCGUCGAGGACCCA